Molecule: long non-coding RNA, 1653 nt
Organism: Megalobrama amblycephala (Wuchang bream)
Lineage: Eukaryota; Metazoa; Chordata; Actinopteri; Cypriniformes; Xenocyprididae
Exons: 4
Source: RefSeq, a predicted model, not a curated record
AGAGAGACACACAGCAUUAAAGCACACGACAGAGUUCAUAUCGCACACGCACAAGAGCAUUCUGGGUAUUUCAGGAGAGUGAAGGGUCUGUCGUUCAUAAGAGGCUGCACUGAAUAUGCAUUGUGCAAAGAAGUGCAUGAAAUAAAAUUAAUAAAAAUGCAUGCUUAAAAUCAGAGGCUGAAAGAAGCUGAAGCCAAGCAUGCAAACGGUGCGGUCGAGCAGAUGUUAUGGUUAUGAUGAGCAGAAAUGUUAUUUAUAUUGUUAGCCAGUAGGUGGCGCUGCCAACAAACUGAAAGUUCUGCAGGAAUAAAACCUGGUGCUAAGAUUGUAGACUUUUAGGAAGAGUAAAAUUAACUCUACAUAAAGAAGAAGAGACAUAUGGCAACAUUAAAUAUGGAUGAUGAAGGUAUUUUUGCAAAAAAUCUAGUAAUGCAAACUAGUUUCAAAAUUUUUUUUUUUUUUUUUCUUUUUUGAGUACAGCAAAGAACAAAUAUCUGCCAAUGGGGUCAGAAAUAUAAUCUUGUUGAAAGUUGAUUUUUCUGACCCCACGGGCAGAUUUGUUUAAAGCAUAAACUUAUUUAUUUAUUAUUCAUUUUUCAGCCAUUUUGCUUUUCAAGUAAAAGUAAAUGUUAAUAUAUCUGCACCGGAGAAGGCAAAAAUUAAAUACAAAAGACUAAGUAAGAUCCGGUGUUAUGACGAUACUUGGCCAGCAGGUGGCGUCAUCACCAUAGACACUGCAGCUAAUGAAUAAUUAAACAGCUAACUAAAUUGAAUGUGAUAUGAGGAAUAUAAAAUAAUCUUUCACACACUGACCGCACUGUUUGUAUAGCAAUGUCUGUAGAAGAUGCAUAAGUUUUAUUCAUUAAAAUGAAUAAAAAUCACAUAUUUAUUUAUAAUUAAGACCUUCAGCAGCAUUUCACUCAUUACACAGAGACACAUCGGUUCACCCAGCUAACAAAAAUACAUUCUAAGAACAUAUUUAAGUUAUGAAAACGUGAUUUUUGAAUGUUUUGUGACCUUAAAAAGUGUUUGGACUCAUAAAUAUCUGUAUAUUACUGUAUUUACACCGUGUCGACGCGAUUAGAUUCCAGCGACUAACUAUUUGUCUGUCCACGACGUCAAUCAAAAAUCACAACCAAUCAGAAGAGCGCGUAGGCGGGGUUUCUCGGCAAGUUCCCGCCACUCGCAACGAAAAAGGGCCUGGAUCCACAGGCGCUCAUGGUGAACGGGUUCGACUCUCCGGUGAGCUUCUACUGUGACGUAUGAGCAUGAGAAAGGAGCAGGUUCUCUCAACAAACGCACAUGGAGAAUCUGAAGGUCCAUGAUUUUCUCUUCCAUCUCUUUGGUCUGAUGAGGCGCGAAACGAAACUCGCUGACGUAUUCGGAUCCGUACUCGUCCGGGUCGUGAUCGCCCAGCUCCGACUGAACCGUGUACGAACCCAGAACCGUGUGAGUGGCGAACGAACACGGCAAACGACCCGAUAUGAUGUCAUCCCUCAGCUGUAAACACAGACAGCAGCGCCGGCUCAGGAGGGUAAAACUUCACAUUGAAUGAGAAAUUCCAGGCGACACCUGAAGAGAGAAACAAUCGAGCUCAAAUACAGCAUAUAUGCAGACAGGACAGAUGUUUAUCUCCUGAGUAUUUCACCUCUG